This is a long non-coding RNA of Conger conger (European conger), 4094 nucleotides long. RefSeq lists it as uncharacterized. The record is from RefSeq and is a predicted model, not a curated record. The transcript has 6 exons. Lineage: Eukaryota; Metazoa; Chordata; Actinopteri; Anguilliformes; Congridae.
CUUCCUUGUCAUGUUCUGAGUCUCUUUUUGUUGUUUUCCUUGUUUUCCCAUUUCUAUGUGUUCUCUGUCUUCAUGCUCUGUUCCACGUUUUCUAUUUCUACCUGUUACAUGUCUCCGCCCCCCCACACCAUGUAUGUAUUUCCCCUAGUAAUCGUCUCACCUGUUUCUCGUGUGGCUUAUAAGACUGCCUGUUUCGUUGUUCUGGGCUAGUUCGUUAUGUCUCUUGCUUCUAUGCUUGGUCAUUUCAGUGGUUUCUAAUAUACAGUCCCCUCCAAAAGUAUUGGAACAGCAAGGCCAAUUCCUUUGUUUUUGCUAUUUUUAUCUUGAUUUGUUAAACAACCUAAUACACUGAGUGCAUUUGGGGUUGAGAUAAAAAGAUGAACACAGGACAAGUUCCGAAUUUCAGAAAAGAUAAACUACUUAGAACAUAGCACCUUUGGUAUCAGACCGCCCAAUUUUUAGGUGAUCAAAAGUAUUGGAACAGAGAGUACAAAAGGUGAUAUGUUCUAAGUUGUUUAACAAAUCUAAAUAAUAAUACCAGGACCUCAAACUCAAUUGUGUUCAGUGUAUAGCAAAAACAAAGGGAAUUGACCUUGCUGUUCCAAUACUUUUGGAGGGGACUGUAUUCUCUUCAACUAUCUUCUCAAAAUUGUCACUUUCCGUGCCCUUUUCCAUUAUUCCUAUCAUCUCUUCUUUUCCCUGUUUUAUGUAUUCCUUAGUUCCAUGUUCAUGUCUUCCUUGUCAUGUUCUGAGUCUCUAUUAGUUGUUUUCCUUGUUUUCCCAUUUCUAUGUGUUCUGUCUUCAUGCUCUGUUCCAUGUUUUCUAUUUCUACCUGUUACAUAUCUCGCCCCCCCACACCAUGUAUGUAUUUCCUCUAGUAAUCGUCUCACCUGUUUCUCAUGUGGCUUAUACGACUGCCUGUUUCGUUGUUCUGGGCUAGUUCGUUUUGUCUCCUGCUUUUAUGCUUGGUCGUUUCAGUGGUUUCUAAUAUACAGUCCCCUCCAAAAGUAUUGGAACAGCAAGGCCAAUUCCUUUGUUUUUGCUAUUUUUAUCUAGAUUUGUUAAACAACUGAAUACACUGAGUGUAUUUGGGGUUGAGAUAAAAAAAGAUCUUGUGGGAGAAUGAGCUUAUUAAAAAACAAAAGAAGGUGGACAAAGAGAGAGACGUCAACAAGAGGCAGCAGAUUGAACAGCAAUAUGAAAAGGAGAUUGAGUUAAAGAGGCAAAAAGACCAUGAACAGAAGACCAACGUUCAGAGAGGUUACACUGAGCAGAUCUUGGCCAAGAAAGCCAUGGGAGCUAAAGAAGCAAAACAAAAAGAAAUGGAGGAGAAGUGCCGGAGGACAAUUGUAAUGGAAAAAGACAACUGGAAUGCAAUGGGCAGAGUUCAAGUCGAUAGGAACAAUGAGCUGCAGUGGCGCAAGGAUAUUGUGGCACAGAAGUUGGCUUUGAAGAUGCAGGAGACCAAGCAAAAACAGGAGCAGUAUGCUGCCAAUGUUCUGGCUGCAGCCCAGGCCAAGGAGAAUGCGCGGUGGGAGCAGACUCUACAUGAGAAGAACGAAAAAGGGAAGGCCAUGAGGGAUGCCAUCGCAGCUCACCGGGAACACCAGCAGAUCAAAAUGGAGGAGCAACAGAGGGCCUUGUCCACACACCAAGCGUUGAGAGAGGAAAACAAAAUAUACUGGGAAAAUGAAGAAAUGUUGGCACAGAAAAAAACGGAGGAACCUCGCUUUUUGGGCGAGAUCAUGAGGAUCUCCAGUCCACAAAAUUCAGACUCGGAUUUGCAUGAUGAAGGAUUCAAGCGGAUGCAGGAUUUGACGGGAGGAUUGAGAACAGACUACUUGGUUCCUGGCGCCACCAAUGCCAAAAUUCCAGAUUAUACCAGAAGCGUGACGCAGGAUGUUCCAAGAUUUUACAGAGAUCAUGAGGAUCUCCAGUCCACAAAAUUCAGACUAGGAUUUGCAUGAUGAAGGAAUCAAGCGGAUGCAGGAUUUGACGGGAGGAUUGAGAACAGACUACUUGGUUCCUGGCGCCACCAAUGCCAAAAUUCCAGAUUAUACCAGAAGCGUGACGCAGGAUGUUCCAAGAUUUUACAGAGAUCAUGAGGAUCUCCAGUCCACAAAAUUCAGACUAGGAUUUGCAUGAUGAAGGAUUCAAGCGGAUGCAGGAUUUGACGGGAGGAUUGAGAACAGACUACUUGGUUCCUGGCGCCACCAAUGCCAAAAUUCCAGAUUAUACCAGAAGCGUGACGCAGGAUGUUCCAAGAUUUUACAGAGAUCAUGAGGAUCUCCAGUCCACAAAAUUCAGACUAGGAUUUGCAUGAUGAAGGAUUCAAGCGGAUGCAGGAUUUGACGGGAGGAUUGAGAACAGACUACUUGGUUCCUGGCGCCACCAAUGCCAAAAUUCCAGAUUAUACCAGAAGCGUGACGCAGGAUGUUCCAAGAUUUUACAGAGAUCAUGAGGAUCUCCAGUCCACAAACUUCAGACUAGGAUUUGCAUGAUGAAGGAUUCAAGCGGAUGCAGAAAAUGACAGAGAGGAAGGAGAAGACAGACAAGCAGAUGUUUAAGUGGUUUCUAAUAUACUGUCCCCUCCUAAAGUAUUGGAACAGCAAAUCCAAUUCCUUAAUACACUGAGUGUAUUUGGGGUUGAGAUAAAAAGAUGAACACAAGACGAGUUCUGAAUUUCAGAAUAGAUAAACUACUGAGAACAUAGCACCUUUGGUAUCAGACAACCCAAUUUUUAGGCAAAAGUAUUGGAACAGAGAGUACAAAAGGUGAUAUGUUCUAAGUUGUUUCACAAAUCUAGAUAAAAAUACCAGGACCUCAAACUCAAUUGUAUACUCAGUGUAUAGCAAAAACAAAGGGAAUUGACCUUGAUGUUCCAAUACUUUUGGAGGGGACUGUAUUCUCUUCAACUAUCUUCUCAAAAUUGUCACUUUCCGUGCCCUUUUCCAUUAUUCCUAUCAUCUCUUCUUUUCCCUGUUUUAUGUAUUCCUUAGUUCCAUGUUCAUGUCUUCCUUGUCACGUUCUGAGUCUCUAUUAGUUGUUUUCCUUGUUUUCACAUUUCUAUGUGUUCCCUGUCUUCAUGCUCUGUUCCACGUUUUCUAUUUCUACCUGUUACAUGUCCCCCCCCCCCCCACACCAUGUUUGUAUUUCCUCUAGUAAUCGUCUUACCUGUUUCUCGUGUGGCUUAUAAGACUGCCUGUUUUGUUGUUCUGGGCUAGUUCGUUAUGUCUCUUGCUUUUAUGCUUGGUCAUUUCAGUGGUUUCUAAUAUACAGUCCCCUCCAAAAGUAUUGGAACAGCAAGGCCAAUUCCUUUGUUUUUGCUAUUUUUGUCUAGAUUUGUUAAACAAUUUAAUACACUGAAUAUAUUUGGGGUUGAGAUAAAAAAAGAUGAACACAAGACGAGUUCCGAAUUUCAGAAUAGAUAAACUACUGAGAACAUUGCACCUUUGGUAUCAGACAACCCAAUUUUUAGGCCAAAGUAUUGGAACAGAGAGUACAAAAGGUGAUAUGUUCUAAGUUGUUUCACAAAUCUAGAUAAAAAUACCAGGACCUCAAACUCAAUUGUGUUCAGUGCAUAGCAAAAAACAAAGGGAAUUGACCUUGCUGUUCCAAUACUUUUUGAGGGGACUGUAUUCUCUUCAACUAUCUUCUCAAAAUUGUCAAUUUCCAUGCCCUUUUCCAUUAUUCCUAUCAUCUCUUCUUUUCCGUUUCUUUCUUAGUUCCAUGUUCAUGUCUUCCUUGUCAUGUCCUGCAUCUCUCUUAGUUCUGUUUGACCUUUUCCCCAUUUCUAUGUGUCUGUGUAUAACCCUGCCUAUUUCGUUCUUCUGAGAUACUUUCUUUUGGUUCUUGCUUCUGAGCCCCUCCACGCUUCCCUGUCCUGCACGUUUUUGUUUCUGGUCCUGCCACCUGCCGGCUCCACCGACCUACCCCGGAUGCGACCCUCGCUCACCCUGGACCUCAUCCUCCGCCCGGACCGAUCCUCCAGCAUCCUUCUUCGCUCCGCCUGCCUUUCGACAUCUACCUGCCUGAUCCCCUGUUCACUUGGAUCCUGACCCAUUGCCCUGGACUUUACCACAAACUCUUUAUUA